Molecule: non-coding RNA, 149 nt
Filed under: Nomascus leucogenys (northern white-cheeked gibbon)
Lineage: Eukaryota; Metazoa; Chordata; Mammalia; Primates; Hylobatidae
Source: Rfam by way of RNAcentral
GCCAGGCAUGGUAGCGAAUGUCUGUAGUCCCAGCUACUCAGGAGGCAGAGGCAGGAGGAUUGCAUGAGCCCAGGAGUUCAUGGCUGUAGUGAGCUAUGAUCCAUGCCAUUGCACUCCAGCCUGGGUGACAGAGCAAGACCCUGUCUCUU